Molecule: long non-coding RNA, 778 nt
Organism: Xenopus tropicalis (tropical clawed frog)
Lineage: Eukaryota; Metazoa; Chordata; Amphibia; Anura; Pipidae
Exons: 3
Source: RefSeq, a predicted model, not a curated record
UUUCUGCCUCAACCAGCAGGAAGAUCUAUAAUUAAAUUAACAGGUUUGUUUUAUCACAUUCUCUACUGAAAUCAGAUGAUCUUCUAAAAUUAUGUUUUUUAUAUUAACUAGGAAACCUUGGAGGUCUGUGAUGAACCUCAGCAGGAGACGUGCGAGGAGAGACCUCAGGAGUGUGGCGAUUACACCUGCCCGCCUGAGCUCUCUGAGCAAGAGGAUCCUCAGCCCAUCGAGGAGGAUCCGACAGCCUGUAAUGAGGCUGAAGAACCAAUUAUGACGCAGGAGAGCACGAACACCAGCCCCUGCCACCCUCAGCAGGAGACUUGCGAGGAGAGACCUCAGGAGUGUGGCAAUUACACCUGCCCGCCUGAGCUCUCUGAGCAAGAGGAUCCUCAGCCCAUCGAGGAGGAUCCAACAGCCUGUAAUGAGGUUUGUGCUUAAUUAUAUCUUCUGAAAGUCAUUUUGUUUCAAGAUUAAACAUACGGUCACCUUUAGUGAUAACUUGCAUUGGAUGAUAGGCCUUUCAUCCCAUAAAGUAACUGUUAUAUUGAUUGAGCGGAACCCUGGUGUUACCUCCAUCCCCAAGCUGGUGGUAGCGCCAAGGUUUCCCCAGUGACCCCCCCGAAUACAUGCAGUGGACUUGUGCCAACUAAUAUUUGGCAAUAUUUUGACACUGAGCUGGAAUUGUAGAAAAACAAACCCUGCCUUUAAAAUGAUGAAUUUAUUACUACUUUGAAUUGACAGGGCCUCAGUUGUUGCUUACAAUUUUUAUUUCAGAUUA